Molecule: ribosomal RNA, 923 nt
Filed under: uncultured Bacteroidota bacterium
Lineage: Bacteria; Pseudomonadati; Bacteroidota
Description: bacterial SSU rRNA
Rfam family: Bacterial small subunit ribosomal RNA
Source: RNAcentral
CUUUGAUUCUGGCUCAGGAUGAACGCUAGCGACAGGCUUAACACAUGCAAGUCGAGGGGCAGCGGUGGAGAGAGCUUGCUCUCUCCAGCCGGCGACCGGCGCACGGGUGAGUAACACGUAUGCAACCUGCCCUUGACACUGGGAUAACCCGGAGAAAUCCGGACUAAUACCGGGCGAUACCUUCGGAGGCCAUCCUCCUUAGGUCGAAGGAAGCGAUUCCGGUCAAGGAUGGGCAUGCGGCGCAUUAGCUAGUUGGCGGGGUAACGGCCCACCAAGGCGACGAUGCGUAGGGGUUCUGAGGGGAAGGUCCCCCACAUUGGUACUGAGACACGGACCAAACUCCUACGGGAGGCAGCAGUGAGGAAUAUUGGUCAAUGGGCGCGAGCCUGAACCAGCCAAGUCGCGUGAGGGAAGACGGCCCUACGGGUUGUAAACCUCUUUUGUCGGGGAGCAAGGACUGCCACGAGUGGCAGGGCGAGAGUACCCGAAGAGAAAGCAUCGGCUAACUCCGUGCCAGCAGCCGCGGUAAUACGGAGGAUGCGAGCGUUAUCCGGAUUUAUUGGGUUUAAAGGGUGCGUAGGCGGAAGUUCAAGUCAGCGGUAAAAUCGAGGGGCUCAACCCCUUUAAGCCGAUGAAACUGGGUUUCUUGAGUGGGCGAGAAGUGUGCGGAAUGUGUGGUGUAGCGGUGAAAUGCAUAGAUAUCACACAGAACUCCGAUUGCGAAGGCAGCACACCGGCGCCCGACUGACGCUGAGGCACGAAAGCGUGGGGAUCAAACAGGAUUAGAUACCCUGGUAGUCCACGCAGUAAACGAUGAACACUAGGUGUGCGGGUCGAAUGAGAUCUGCGUGCCACAGCGAAAGCGUUAAGUGUUCCACCUGGGGAGUACGCCGGCAACGGUGCAACUCAAAUGAAUUGACGGA